UGGCAAGAAAGGCAUUAACUACAUCA
RNAcentral lists this unclassified non-coding RNA (26 nucleotides) under Mus musculus (house mouse). Its description in RNAcentral is "oocyte_clustered_small_RNA13622". The record is from RNAcentral. Lineage: Eukaryota; Metazoa; Chordata; Mammalia; Rodentia; Muridae.